Molecule: transfer RNA, 85 nt
Filed under: bacterium
Lineage: Bacteria
Description: tRNA-Ser
Rfam family: tRNA
About the family: Transfer RNA (tRNA) molecules are approximately 80 nucleotides in length.
Source: RNAcentral
GGAAGGAUGCAGGAGAGGCUUAACUGGCGGUCCUGGAAAGACCGUGUGCCGCAAGGUACCGUGGGUUCGAAUCCCACUCCUUCCG